CCUACGGGGGGCAGCAGUGGGGAAUAUUGGACAAUGGGCGAAAGCCUGAUCCAGCCAUGCCGCGUGUGUGAAGAAGGCCUUCGGGUUGUAAAGCACUUUCAGUGGGGAAGAAAGCCUUGGGGCUAAUACCCUCGAGGAAGGACAUCACCCACAGAAGAAGCACCGGCUAACUCCGUGCCAGCAGCCGCGGUAAUACGGAGGGUGCGAGCGUUAAUCGGAAUUACUGGGCGUAAAGCGCGCGUAGGCGGUCUGAUAAGCCGGUUGUGAAAGCCCCGGGCUCAACCUGGGAACGGCAUCCGGAACUGUCAGGCUAGAGUGCAGGAGAGGAAGGUAGAAGUCCCGGUGUAGCGGUGAAAUGCGUAGAGAUCGGGAGGAAUACCAGUGGCGAAGGCGGCCUUCUGGACUGACACUGACGCUGAGGUGCGAAAGCGUGGGUAGCAAACAGGAUUAGAUACCCGAGUAGUC
Molecule: ribosomal RNA, 465 nt
Filed under: Vreelandella stevensii
Lineage: Bacteria; Pseudomonadati; Pseudomonadota; Gammaproteobacteria; Oceanospirillales; Halomonadaceae
Description: partial 16S ribosomal RNA
Rfam family: Bacterial small subunit ribosomal RNA
Source: RNAcentral